AUUUUUAGCUUAUUAUACCCCCGCUUUAAAAAAGGGGGGGUAUACUGUUUUUACUCUCUGUUGUCCGUCCGUCCGUCCCCAUCCAUCAGUCCAUCAGUCCGUCCAUCAGUCCGUCUGUCAGUCAGUCCGUCCCAUGAAACUUUCGUCAUAUUUUUCUCAGGAACUACACAUCCACCCUUUCUGUAAUUUGGUAUCAACAUUUAUAUAUGUCAGCCAUACCGUGUGAUGUGUUUUCAGAUUCAUCACUUGACAACUUCCUGUUUACCGAACACUUGUCUGAUUUUACACAUGAUAGCCAAGUUGAAAAUUUUCGUCACAUUUUUCUCAGGAACUACAAUACAAGGAUUUCUGAAAUUUGGUUUCAGGAUUUAUAUAAGUCAGCUAUACCGUGUGAUGCGUUUUCAGAUUCAUCACUCGACAACUUCCUGUUUACCGAACACUUGUAUGAUUUUACACAUGAUAACCAAGUUGAAAAUUUUCGUCACAUUUUUCUCAGGAACUACAAUACAAGGAUUUCUGAAAUUUGGUUUCAGGAUUUUUAUAAGUCAGCUAUACCGUGUGAUGCGUUUUCAGAUUCAUCACUCGACAACUUCCUGUUUACCGAACACUUGCAUAUUUUUACACUAUUAAUAUUAUCCACUUGCGGCGGGGGUAUCAUCAGUGAGCAGUAGCUCGCAGUUUCACUUGUAUUUAU
This 694-nucleotide long non-coding RNA is filed under the name Mytilus galloprovincialis (Mediterranean mussel). The record is from RNAcentral. Lineage: Eukaryota; Metazoa; Mollusca; Bivalvia; Mytilida; Mytilidae.